CUCCUAAAGACUAAGCCAUGCAUGCCUUCGAAUACGAGGAAGCAAUUCUCUCUGAAUCUGCGAACGGCUCCGCAAACCAGUUGUAAACUAUUGCUAGCACGCUCAUCGUCUUCGGAUGGUGGGCUAUAAGGAUAACCCUGGUAAUUCUGAGGCUAAUACUCGACCGUAAAACUCGCUGGUCUGGGUAACUGGUAAGGCGAGGGACGUGUAAUUGAUCGCAGGAGAUGCCGGGAAAGGAUGCACGUUCUGACCACCAUACAAACAGUAUCCUGGAAGCUCGCAAGGGCCGAAGGGUGUCUGGGUGGCUCUAGCAUUGUGCUUCUGACCUAUCAACUAGAUGGCAGUGUAAGGGACAUGCCAUGGUUACAACGGGUACAGAGGAUAAGGGUUCGAUCCUGGAGAGUGGGCCUGAGAGAUUGCUCAUACUUCUAAGGAAGGCAGCAGGCGCGCAACGUUCCCAUUGGGCAAUGCCCGAGGGCGUUAGGGGACAUAUGAAUGCCUGUCAAUUGAUGGGCAAUUCAAAUGGGGUUGUUCUAAACAGCCUUUCGAGUAACAAUUAGAGGA
RNAcentral lists this ribosomal RNA (564 nucleotides) under Nannengaella alpestris. RNAcentral describes it as "bacterial SSU rRNA". It matches the Rfam family "Eukaryotic small subunit ribosomal RNA", at positions 34 to 555 of the family's 1831-position model. The record is from RNAcentral. Lineage: Eukaryota; Evosea; Eumycetozoa; Physariida; Physaraceae.